GGCUGUUCUCGGGUGAUGCACCCCAGAAUCAGGCUCCCUCCUCUCUGGUUCUGAGUGCAUCACCUGAGAACCGCA
Myotis lucifugus (little brown bat) is the source of this 75-nucleotide non-coding RNA. Lineage: Eukaryota; Metazoa; Chordata; Mammalia; Chiroptera; Vespertilionidae. The record is from Rfam.